RNAcentral lists this ribosomal RNA (429 nucleotides) under Acidobacteriota bacterium. RNAcentral describes it as "Acidobacteria bacterium partial 16S ribosomal RNA". It matches the Rfam family "Bacterial small subunit ribosomal RNA", at positions 355 to 776 of the family's 1533-position model. Lineage: Bacteria; Pseudomonadati; Acidobacteriota. The record is from RNAcentral.
UGGGGAAUUUUGGACAAUGGGGGAAACCCUGAUCCAGCCAUCCCGCGUGUGCGAUGAAGGCCUUCGGGUUGUAAAGCACUUUUGGCAGGAAAGAAACGUCAUGGGUUAAUACCCCGUGAAACUGACGGUACCUGCAGAAUAAGCACCGGCUAACUACGUGCCAGCAGCCGCGGUAAUGCGUAGGGUGCAAGCGUUAAUCGGAAUUACUGGGCGUAAAGCGUGCGCAGACGGUUCGGAAAGAAAGAUGUGAAAUCCCAGAGCUCAACUUUGGAACUGCAUUUUUAACUACCGGGCUAGAGUGUGUCAGAGGGAGGUGGAAUUCCGCGUGUAGCAGUGAAAUGCGUAGAUAUGCGGAGGAACACCGAUGGCGAAGGCAGCCUCCUGGGAUAACACUGACGCUCAUGCACGAAAGCGUGGGGAGCAAACAGG